Molecule: ribosomal RNA, 2377 nt
Filed under: Escherichia coli Nissle 1917
Lineage: Bacteria; Pseudomonadati; Pseudomonadota; Gammaproteobacteria; Enterobacterales; Enterobacteriaceae
Description: bacterial LSU rRNA
Rfam family: Bacterial large subunit ribosomal RNA (bases 48-1782)
Source: RNAcentral
CUUUACGCGAACGAGCCAUGACAUUGCUGACGACUCUGGCAGUGGCAGAUGACAUAAAACUGGUCGACUGGUUACAACAACGCCUGGGGCUUUUAGAGCAACGAGACACGGCAAUGUUGCACCGUUUGCUGCAUGAUAUUGAAAAAAAUAUCACCAAAUAAAAAACGCCUUAGUAAGUGAUUUUCGUUAAUGAGGCGAACCGGGGGAACUGAAACAUCUAAGUACCCCGAGGAAAAGAAAUCAACCGAGAUUCCCCCAGUAGCGGCGAGCGAACGGGGAGGAGCCCAGAGCCUGAAUCAGUGUGUGUGUUAGUGGAAGCGUCUGGAAAGGCGUGCGAUACAGGGUGACAGCCCCGUACACAAAAAUGCACAUGCUGUGAGCUCGAUGAGUAGGGCGGGACACGUGGUAUCCUGUCUGAAUAUGGGGGGACCAUCCUCCAAGGCUAAAUACUCCUGACUGACCGAUAGUGAACCAGUACCGUGAGGGAAAGGCGAAAAGAACCCCGGCGAGGGGAGUGAAAAAGAACCUGAAACCGUGUACGUACAAGCAGUGGGAGGGUUAACCGAAUAGGGGAGCCGAAGGGAAACCGAGUCUUAACUGGGCGUUAAGUUGCAGGGUAUAGACCCGAAACCCGGUGAUCUAGCCAUGGGCAGGUUGAAGGUUGGGUAACACUAACUGGAGGACCGAACCGACUAAUGUUGAAAAAUUAGCGGAUGACUUGUGGCUGGGGGUGAAAGGCCAAUCAAACCGGGAGAUAGCUGGUUCUCCCCGAAAGCUAUUUAGGUAGCGCCUCGUGAACUCAUCUCCGGGGGUAGAGCACUGUUUCGGCAAGGGGGUCAUCCCGACUUACCAACCCGAUGCAAACUGCGAAUACCGGAGAAUGUUAUCACGGGAGACACACGGCGGGUGCUAACGUCCGUCGNGAAGAGGGAAACAACCCAGACCGCCAGCUAAGGUCCCAAAGUCAUGGUUAAGUGGGAAACGAUGUGGGAAGGCCCAGACAGCCAGGAUGUUGGCUUAGAAGCAGCCAUCAUUUAAAGAAAGCGUAAUAGCUCACUGGUCGAGUCGGCCUGCGCGGAAGAUGUAACGGGGCUAAACCAUGCACCGAAGCUGCGGCAGCGACGCUUAUGCGUUGUUGGGUAGGGGAGCGUUCUGUAAGCCUGUGAAGGUGGCCUGUGAGGGUUGCUGGAGGUAUCAGAAGUGCGAAUGCUGACAUAAGUAACGAUAAAGCGGGUGAAAAGCCCGCUCGCCGGAAGACCAAGGGUUCCUGUCCAACGUUAAUCGGGGCAGGGUGAGUCGACCCCUAAGGCGAGGCCGAAAGGCGUAGUCGAUGGGAAACAGGUUAAUAUUCCUGUACUUGGUGUUACUGCGAAGGGGGGACGGAGAAGGCUAUGUUGGCCGGGCGACGGUUGUCCCGGUUUAAGCGUGUAGGCUGGUUUUCCAGGCAAAUCCGUAGGUGAAGCGACUUGCUCGUGGAGCUGAAAUCAGUCGAAGAUACCAGCUGGCUGCAACUGUUUAUUAAAAACACAGCACUGUGCAAACACGAAAGUGGACGUAUACCUUGAUCGAAGCCCCGGUAAACGGCGGCCGUAACUAUAACGGUCCUAAGGUAGCGAAAUUCCUUGUCGGGUAAGUUCCGACCUGCACGAAUGGCGUAAUGAUGGCCAGGCUGUCUCCACCCGAGACUCAGUGAAAUUGAACUCGCUGUGAAGAUGCAGUGUACCCGCGGCAAGACUUACACGAUAUCAAUAUCGCACUGCGGCAUGCCGCCCAGGUCAUCAUGCUGAAAGAGGGGAAACUUAUCGACAGCGGCGACCCGCAAACGGUGAUCCAUGCAGAGAGCCUUGCGCAGGUAUACGGCGUACGCGGGAGAGUUGAACGUUGUGCUCAGGGAAGAUCGAUGGUGAUAGUGGAUGGUGCAAUCGAAAAAUAGUCGGAUUAACGUGGUUGCUUCAGCCUCAGGUAAAGAUCAAUUGCUCAGGGAAGAUCGAUGGUGAUAGUGGAUGGUGCAAUCGAAAAAUAGUCGGAUUAACGUGGUUGCUUCAGCCUCAGGUAAAGAUCAAUAGGAAGUCUGUAAUGCAACAUAUAGACCGCCUUAAUGUCAUUAAAGCACUUGUGCUUUGUUCCAUGGUGCAUAAUUCACACAGAUCAUCAUCCAGGGGCGGCGUGGCCCGUUUGUCAGGCCAUAAAUCAGCCGGUGCAGCUCGGGGUACGAUGGCAAUCUCGGUUUUUCACCAUUGAAUGACACCCACCCGGGCGUCAGAUUUGGAAGUAGUGAUAUUCGGAUGACACACGCCCCAGGAUACGGCGUGCCGGGUGAAGCCGGUCAGCCAUUUCUGGUAGCUUUCGUGGAGCAGUCGUAACGGGUCUGAUACUG